Molecule: long non-coding RNA, 497 nt
Organism: Limulus polyphemus (Atlantic horseshoe crab)
Lineage: Eukaryota; Metazoa; Arthropoda; Merostomata; Xiphosura; Limulidae
Exons: 4
Source: RefSeq, a predicted model, not a curated record
CGUGCUGUAGGGACUUUUUAGGUUAAUAAUACAAACUUGCUCGGGGUUUUACGAGACUUUCGUUAUUAUAUCAUUUUGGUCAUUGUAUAGUUGGGCUGGUAGAAACUUUGUUUUCUUGAAAAACCAAACGAAAUUCGUAAAAGGUGGGGCCAUAACCUCUAGAUAUCAUCUGCACAACUACUGAAGGACAUCGCUAUCAUCAUCCUUUCACAAGGCUGCUUUUGCAAUGUUAUCCACAGGUGCAAGCAGAUAUUAACAACUUCAAGAAUAACAAAAAAUCAAAGAUGUCGAGACAUCAUACUGGACACAAAAGUAAACAUCAUCCACACUUGAAAUCAAAAAAAUCCAACAAUGUGGAAUCACUGUUACCAGUAUUGAAAAACUUCAGAAAUGAGGAAAUUGAUGGACCAUUUCAAGGAUCUGCACCAGUUCAUUUAUAUAAAGUAAACAAGUAUAAACGUGGGAAAGACCUCCAUAUGGGAAGUGACACCUGUGAU